RNAcentral lists this ribosomal RNA (495 nucleotides) under uncultured bacterium. RNAcentral's name for it is "bacterial SSU rRNA". It matches the Rfam family "Bacterial small subunit ribosomal RNA", at positions 29 to 518 of the family's 1533-position model. The record is from RNAcentral.
AUGAACGCUAGCGACAGGCCUAACACAUGCAAGUCGAGGGGCAGCACAAGGAGCAAUCUGAGGUGGCGACCGGCGCACGGGUGAGUAACACGUAUGCAACCUGCCUGUAAGCGGGGAAUAACCCGUUGAAAGACGGACUAAUACCGCAUAAUACUAAAUUACUGCAUGGUAAUUUAUUUAAACAUUUAUGGCUUACAGAUGGGCAUGCGCAUAAUUAGCUAGUUGGAGAGGUAACGGCUCCCCAAGGCAACGAUCAUUAGGGGUUCUGAGAGGAAGGUCCCCCACACUGGUACUGAGACACGGACCAGACUCCUACGGGAGGCAGCAGUGAGGAAUAUUGGUCAAUGGACGAGAGUCUGAACCAGCCAAGUCGCGUGCAGGAAGAAUGUCCCUAUGGAUUGUAAACUGCUUUUGCAGGGGAAUAAAGUGCAUCACGUGUGAUGUUUUGUAUGUACUCUGCGAAUAAGGAUCGGCUAACUCCGUGCCAGCCGCGGC